UAGGGAAUCUUCGGCAAUGGACGGAAGUCUGACCGAGCAACGCCGCGUGAGUGAAGAAGGUUUUCGGAUCGUAAAGCUCUGUUGUUAGAGAAGAACGUUGGCAGGAGUGGAAAAUCUACCAAGUGACGGUAACUAACCAGAAAGGGACGGCUAACUACGUGCCAGCAGCCGCGGUAAUACGUAGGCCCCGAGCGUUGUCCGGAUUUAUUGGGCGUAAAGCGAGCGCAGGCGGUUCUUUAAGUCUGAAGUUAAAGGCAGUGGCUUAACCAUUGUACGCUUUGGAAACUGGAGGACUUGAGUGCAGAAGGGGAGAGUGGAAUUCCAUGUGUAGCGGUGAAAUGCGUAGAUAUAUGGAGGAACACCGGUGGCGAAAGCGGCUCUCUGGUCUGUAACUGACGCUGAGGCUCGAAAGCGUGGGGAGCAAACAGG
RNAcentral lists this ribosomal RNA (429 nucleotides) under Bacillota bacterium. RNAcentral's name for it is "Firmicutes bacterium partial 16S ribosomal RNA". It matches the Rfam family "Bacterial small subunit ribosomal RNA", at positions 355 to 776 of the family's 1533-position model. The record is from RNAcentral. Lineage: Bacteria; Bacillati; Bacillota.